RNAcentral lists this long non-coding RNA (307 nucleotides) under Panax ginseng (ginseng). RNAcentral's name for it is "long non-coding RNA (PGIN_LNC013667)". The record is from RNAcentral. Lineage: Eukaryota; Viridiplantae; Streptophyta; Magnoliopsida; Apiales; Araliaceae.
CUCAUUGCCACCGAUCAAAAUAUUGGUACAGAACUUUGUUGUAUAUUGACACUUUGACAGUUUGAUUUGUGGUUUGGAAGGGGAAGGUGUGAUUACCUGUGAUGGGAAGGGAUUAGUUACUCUGAAUCAGGAUUAUGGGUUGAUGAAGACGAGUGGUUGGGGUCCCACUUGUGCGGCAGAUGAAUAUGAUUAUGCGGUUAAGGACUUAAGGUUUUGAGUAGUGGGUUGAGGAGUUACUGUGAUAUUCGGUUAUACGGGUAUCCGAAUAGACUAUUUUUUAAAAUCAUAUCCGAAAUCGAAUACUGAA